Xyrichtys novacula (pearly razorfish) is the source of this 433-nucleotide non-coding RNA. The record is from the annotation of a GenBank genome assembly. NCBI's taxonomy places the organism in Eukaryota, Metazoa, Chordata, Actinopteri, Labriformes, Labridae.
CUGAGGUUCAGACCGGAGGACUGGGGUUGAGACCGGAGGACUGAGGUUCAGACCGGAGGACUGGGGUUCAGACCGGAGGACUGAGGUUCAGACCGGAGGACCAGAGGACUGGGGUUCAGACCAGAGGACUGGGGUUCAGACCGGAGGACUGAGGUUCAGACCAGAGGACUGGGGUUCAGACCAGAGGACCAGAGGACUGAGGUUCAGACCAGAGGACUGGGGUUCAGACCAGAGGACUGAGGUUCAGACCAGCAGAGAGUCUAAAACACUCCUCUGAGUCAUUAUUGAUGAUCAUAUGAUCGAUAUGAAGAGUUUGAACAAACUUUUACUGACACGACCAGGUUCAUUUUCUUUAACACACACACACACACACACACACACACACACACACACACACACACACACACACACACACACACUCAGAGUACAGGUC